Molecule: ribosomal RNA, 462 nt
Filed under: uncultured Bacillota bacterium
Lineage: Bacteria; Bacillati; Bacillota
Description: bacterial SSU rRNA
Rfam family: Bacterial small subunit ribosomal RNA
Source: RNAcentral
GGCAGCAGUGGGGAAUCUUCCGCAAUGGGCGCAAGCCUGACGGAGUAACGCCGCGUGAGUGAAGAAGGCCUUCGGGUUGUAAAACUCUGUCAUCAGGGAAGAAGAAAGUGACGGUACCUGAGGAGGAAGCCCCGGCUAACUACGUGCCAGCAGCCGCGGUAAAACGUAGGGGGCGAGCGUUGUCCGGAAUUACUGGGCGUAAAGGGCGCGUAGGCGGUUAUCCAAGUCAGGGGUGAAAACCUUGGGCUCAACUCAGGGUCUGCCUCUGAAACUGGGUAACUUGAGGGCAGGAGAGGGGAGUGGAAUUCCCAGUGUAGCGGUGAAAUGCGUAGAUAUUGGGAGGAACACCAGUGGCGAAGGCGGCUCUCUGGCCUAACCCUGACGCUGAGGCGCGAAAGCGUGGGGAUCAAACAGGAUUAGAUACCCUGGUAGUCCACGCCGUAAACGAUGAGUACUAAGUGU